This is a long non-coding RNA of Tigriopus californicus, 1180 nucleotides long. RefSeq lists it as uncharacterized. The record is from RefSeq and is a predicted model, not a curated record. NCBI's taxonomy places the organism in Eukaryota, Metazoa, Arthropoda, Copepoda, Harpacticoida, Harpacticidae. The transcript is spliced from 3 exons.
ACGGGAGAAAAUGGCUGGUUGGCCUAAUCCACAAAUGCGAGAGAACAAAAACACAGAUGCCAAUAGGAUUUCUAUUUCUCUAUCCAAAUGUCUCUCGGAGAGAAAAAUAUUCUAAACCUGUCAAAGCACUUUAUUUCUGGCACACAUUUUAUCGCAAAUUCAAAGGGUGCUGUUGGAAUGAGUCGGAUUCAGACUGACAGAUUGUCACCUUCUCGUGUGUAGAGAUUAUCAGAUUUCCACGCGCCAUUUCUCGUCAACAUUACUAUCAGAUCAGCACAACUCUUCUGCAUUCAUGUAAGUGCAUGGCAUUAUCAAUCGCUCAAUUUCGGUUCGAGGAACACUUGUUUACUUGGCCAUGUGUUUGAAUUCGAAGGUGUUUCACAUUGGAAGGAAAAGAGCAAGGCGAAUUCAACUGCCCACCCCAAAAACCACAAUCAUCAAUGCAGACAACCCAAGAUUGCAGUUCAUGUAGUACACAGUGGUACGUUCUAUGUACAUAGUAAGUACUCCCUCCAUCCGUGAGGCAAUCUCGAUUCUCGAUCUUAAUUUCAAUCUUCUGGAUAAACAUCAUUUCUAAAGGGAAGAAAUCCCAAGGACCCUGCUCAAUCACUUCAAUUUUGUUCGCUUGCACAAGUGUACUUUGCCCUGGCAGUAAAAAUCAAUUCGGGUGUUCAGUAAUUGCAAUCAAUUCGAUUUAGUGAAUGGGCUUUUCAUAAUGAUACCCUCUUUCUAUUGAAGACCAUGAGUGUCAGACGACAGAACGAACGAACCUCUUGAUAACAAACCCUUAAGCCUUCGUACAGACGUAAAGUUCAAGUGGUGCACGAUUUUGACGGCCAGAAAGAACAUUGACAUGAAUGCUAAAAGAACGUACGACACCAUUUUUUCCUCUCAAAAAUUGGCACGUGCUAUUUAUGGAUAAACUGAAACAUCAAAUAAAGAUAUCCAGCUCAAUUGGGAUUUUGGAAUCAACGUAAACGAGAAGGAGCUAAAGCUCAAGAUUGAAAAGCUCAAGAUUCAAAAAAAUCCAAGCAGCUCUUCAUUUUUGUUCGAUGUCCGAGUCAAAGAAAUCAAGAUCUCUGAUGAAACCCAUUGUGAGGGCAAACUGGAUAUAUUUUAAAUUCUAGUAUCAGUCAAACGUGCAAAUAAAAAAAAAAUCAGACAUUGGUUUGCUAUUUGU